CGCCGAAGGAACUAUUUCAGAAAAUCAUGGCAAAGUACUAGUGUGGUCUGUUUGGUCAAUCCAUUACAUGUUGCUGAUUUUGUUUUCUAGCGUAAUUCAACAUGAAGCAUCGUUGUUCAUUUUUUUCUUCGGACAAAAAUAUAAAAGGUCUACUUGUACCUCAAUUUUAUGUAUGGAAAUAAAAUCCUAAUUUCUAGUAUUUUGCUCAAUACUUGUUCCACUGUGAGAAUGUGUACAGCUUUCUUUUACUUUGAUUUUGGUUAAUGCUAGUACUGAUGACGUUCAAAU
Molecule: long non-coding RNA, 288 nt
Filed under: Citrus sinensis (sweet orange)
Lineage: Eukaryota; Viridiplantae; Streptophyta; Magnoliopsida; Sapindales; Rutaceae
Description: long non-coding RNA (CSIN_LNC003755)
Source: RNAcentral